CGAGCACGCGCGUGUGGCAUAUCAAUAAGCGGAGGAAAAGAAACUAACUAAGGAUUCCCUUAGUAACGGCGAGUGAAGCGGGAAGAGCUCAAAUUUGAAAUCUUCAAGGUUCUACCUUGACGAAUUGUAGUUUAUAGAAGUGUUUUCUGUUAGUAGGAGUGGCAAAAGUUCUUUGGAAUAGGACAUCAUAGAGGGUGAGAAUCCCGUAUUUGGUCAUUCCUUCCUAGCGUUGUGAUACACUUUCAACGAGUCGGAUUGUUUGGGAAUGCAGUCCAAAAUGGGUGGUAAAUAUCAUCUAAAGCUAAAUAUUGGCGAGAGACCGAUAGCGAACAAGUACCGUGAGGGAAAGAUGAAAAGAACUUUGAAAGGAGAGUUAAACAGUACGUGAAAUUGUCAAAAGGGAAGCGUUUGACACCAGUGUUGUUUUUCCGAAAAUCAAUUACGAAUGUUUUGUUUUUGAGGAGUUAUGACUUCAUCGGCUUGCUCCUUUCUUUACGAAACUUUCUUAAUGCACUUUUCGGUUAACAAGUCAACAUCAAUUUCUUUUGUUGUAAAAGAGGUCAUUGAGGAAGGUGGCUUUUCUUUCGGAGAAAGUGUUUAUAGCCUUUGUACCUUCUGCAAUCGGAGAGGAUUGAGGUCUGCAGCGUAGAUCCUUCGGGGUUAGAUACAUUUGCUGCUAAGCUAUAGUUCUUUAUAGACAACUUGUUGACUAUAGUCUAGUCCUGUAGCUUACUCGCUUAUGCUAUUUUACCUACGCUUAGGAUGUUGAUGUGAUACUGCGAGCA
Molecule: ribosomal RNA, 785 nt
Filed under: uncultured Neocallimastigales
Lineage: Eukaryota; Fungi; Neocallimastigomycota; Neocallimastigomycetes; Neocallimastigales
Description: partial large subunit ribosomal RNA
Rfam family: Eukaryotic large subunit ribosomal RNA
Source: RNAcentral